Molecule: small RNA, 856 nt
Filed under: Pan troglodytes (chimpanzee)
Lineage: Eukaryota; Metazoa; Chordata; Mammalia; Primates; Hominidae
Description: processed transcript
Source: RNAcentral
CGGGACCGCGGACAGGCGGCAGGAUCCGCGCCCAGCAAGGACUUCAGAGCAUCAGCAUAGGCAGAGGAACCAGGAAGAGAGAUGAAGAUUCAGGGACUGAAGUGGGAGAAGGCACAGAUGAAUGGGCCCAAUCCAAAGCCACAGUUAGACCCCCUGACCAGCUGGAGUUGACCGAUGCGGUGAGAGUUAAAGGAGGAGUUCACUCGGAUUUUGACAGCCAACAACCCACAUGCACCCCAGAACAUUGUCAGGUACAGCUUCAAAAAGCAAUGGAGUCUGGGUUUCAUUCCUAAACUGAAGAGGAAGAUCCCAGUCAACUACUGGGGACAAGAUGAAGGUGAAAUCUCAAAUAAAACUGUAAGGGUAAUUUAUUCCUUGGGAAUCUUCAUCAUGAAAAUAGUUACUAUUUUAUUGAACAUUAAUAUUGAGCAUUUAUUAGGUGUCAGACACUGUGUUAAUAGGUUGUUUUUAUUAUUUUUAAUACUUAUAAUUAUCAUGCAAAUUAGAUAGUAUUAGCCUUCUUUUAUAGAUGAAGAACUUAGGGCUUAGAGUGGUUAAGCCCAAAGUCAUGAAGAUAAGAAGCAGCAGAAUAAAGAUUCAAACCCAAUUCUGCCUGCCUCCACAGACCAUGCUCUUAACCACUGCACUGUCUUGUCUUCCCAUACAUCUGAGUUACUGAAAGAAGAAGGGCUCUGUGGUGACUUUUAAAUACAGAGCUUCCCAACCUGUGUGAUGGCGAUCCUUCCAGCCCUCCAGGGGCAGGGAGAUCUGUGCAACUGGACUCCAUGAACUGGUUUCCUCUACUGUGAGUUUACCGUAGUGUGCCAUACAAACAUAGUUUCUGUAUGGCUUGAAA